Molecule: ribosomal RNA, 2315 nt
Filed under: uncultured bacterium
Lineage: Bacteria
Description: bacterial SSU rRNA
Rfam family: Bacterial small subunit ribosomal RNA (bases 1-1448)
Source: RNAcentral
AUCUUAGUGGCGGACGGGUUAGUAACACGUGAGAUACAUACCUAUUAGACAGGAAUAGCCCAUGGAAACGUGGAUUAAUGCCUGAUAGUUCCUACGGGAUAAAGGAUGCCUUCGGGUGUCGCUAAUAGAUUGGCUCGCGGCCUAUCAGUUAGUUGGUGAGGUAAAGGCUCACCAAGACGACGACGGGUAGCUGGUCUGAGAGGACGAUCAGCCACACUGGAACUGAGACACGGUCCAGACACCUACGGGUGGCAGCAGUCGAGAAUCAUUCACAAUGGACGAAAGUCUGAUGGUGCAACGCCGCGUGGAGGAUGACGGUCCUAGGAUUGUAAACUCCUGUCAUUGGGGAGUAAGACUUGGUUGUUAAUAGCCUCCAAGUUUGAUAGUACCCAAAGAGGAAGGGACGGCUAACUUCGUGCCAGCAGCCGCGGUAAUACGAAGGUCCCAAGCGUUGUUCGGAAUAACUGGGCGUAAAGCGUGUGUAGGCUGCGCGGAAAGUCAAAUGUGAAAGCCAGAGGCUCAACCUCUGAACUGCAUUCGAUACUCCCGUGCUAGAGUAAUGGAGAGGUAAGUGGAAUUCUCGGUGUAGCAGUGAAAUGCGUAGAUAUCGAGAGGAACAUCAAUGGCGAAGGCAACUUACUGGACAUUUACUGACGCUCAGACACGAAGGCUAGGGGAGCGAAAGGGAUUAGAUACCCCUGUAGUCCUAGCAGUAAACGGUGCUCGCUUGGUGUGGGAGGGUUCGACCCCUUCUGUGCCGGAGCUAACGCGUUAAGCGAGCCGCCUGGGAAGUACGGUCGCAAGACUAAAACUCAAAGAAAUUGACGGGGACCCGCACAAGCGGUGGAGUAUGUGGCUUAAUUCGAUGCAACGCGAAGAACCUUACCUAGGCUUGACAUGCUUGUCGUACUCUCCCGAAAAGGAGAGGUCACUUCGGGUGGACAAUGCACAGGUGCUGCAUGGCCGUCGUCAGCUCGUGUCGUGAGAUGUUUGGUUAAGUCCAGCAACGAGCGCAACCCCUGUGAAUAGUUGCCAGCAAGUAAUGUUGGGGACUCUAUUCAGACUGCCCAGAUCAACUGGGAGGAAGGUGGGGACGACGUCAGGUCAGUAUGGCCCUUACGCCUAGGGCUGCACACGUACUACAAUGCCCAGCACAAUGAGAACCGAUACCGCGAGGUGGAGGAAAUCUAUAAAACUGGGCCCAGUUCGGAUUGGAGGCUGCAACUCGCCUCCAUGAAGUCGGAAUCGCUAGUAAUGCCGUAUCAGCUACGACGGCGUGAAUACGUUCCCGGGUCUUGUACACACCGCCCGUCACAUCAUGGAAGCCGGUCGCACCCGAAGUAUAUGCGCUAACUUUAUUGAAGCAGUAUCCUAAGGUGAGGCUGGUAACUGGGAUGAAGUCGUAACAAGGUAGCCGUAGGGGAACCUGCGGCUGGAUCACCUCCUUUCUAUGGAGUAAGAAAGCAAGUUCGUUAUUUAUAACAAAAGGACCGCUGCUUUCGGUCGACACCUGACUUCAAGGCCUUCUCUCUUCGGAGAGAAGGCCGAGAGAUACUUAACUUGGAGCUUCGGCGAAGAGAAAGUAAUGGUGGAAGAGCAAGAAAUUGCCUUCACAAAUAUUUGAGUGACCAAUUUAAACGCACCUUAAACUUAAUUCAUGGUUUAAGACUGCAGCAUACAAUCUGAUUUUUUGUCCUACUCACCGUAGGGGAAAGCCUACCUUCCCAAGUUUAGAAUCUUCUAAAUUAGGAAUUUAGAGUUUCCUUAAAUAAGGGGGCUUAGCUCAGUUGGUAGAGCGUCUGCUUUGCAAGCAGAAUGUCAACGGUUCGAAUCCGUUAGUCUCCACCAUUUUUCCAACGCGGGCUUGUAGCUCAGUUGGUUAGAGCGCACGACUGAUAAUCGUGAGGUCGGCAGUUCGAGUCUGCCCUGGCCCACCAUUUUCUUUGAAGAAAGUGGUAAGACAAUGAGUAGAGAGCAAAAACAACAUCUUUUCUGUGACCCAUAUUUUUAAGGUUAACGCCGUUCUUUGACAUCCAUGUGAAGUUUUUAAAGACUGUGAGCACCAUCACUUCAAUGUGGUGCUCCAUUAAUACAAUGAAAUUAGACUGAGACAGGUGGUGAAAGCCACUUGUUCAAACUACUUGCAGUCCUUGGAUAAAGACUAACAAUACCAAAUUUACGGUUGAAACGAUCAAGCGAUUGAUUGUUUUAACUCAAGACAAUUAGACGUUCUACGGAACGUCGACUUUAUAACGACAACCGAUUUCAAGAGAAUGAGGAAUUAAGUUAUUAAGGGCAUAGAGUGGAUGCCUUGG